RNAcentral lists this ribosomal RNA (392 nucleotides) under uncultured bacterium. Its description in RNAcentral is "partial 16S ribosomal RNA". It matches the Rfam family "Bacterial small subunit ribosomal RNA", at positions 523 to 918 of the family's 1533-position model. The record is from RNAcentral.
AUACGGAGGACGCGAGCGUUAUCCGGAUUCAUUGGGUUUAAAGGGUGCGCAGGCGGCCGUGCAAGUCAAAUGUGAAAUCCCCGAGCUUAACUAAUGUAUGCCAUUGAUACUGGAUGUCUUGAAUGUGGUAGAGGUAGGCGGAAUGUGUUGUGUAGCGGUGAAAUGCUUAGAUAUAACACAGAACACCGAUUGCGUAGGCAGCUUACUAUUCCAUUAUUGACGCUGAUGCACGAAAGCGUGGGGAUCAAACAGGAUUAGAUACCCUGGUAGUCCACGCUGUAAACUAUGAUCACUCGUUUUUGGCGAUAUAUAGUCAGAGACUGAGCGAAAGCAUUAAGUGAUCCACCUGGGGAGUACGUUCGCAAGAAUGAAACUUAAAGGAAUUGACGGGG